Molecule: small RNA, 617 nt
Filed under: Pongo abelii (Sumatran orangutan)
Lineage: Eukaryota; Metazoa; Chordata; Mammalia; Primates; Hominidae
Description: processed transcript
Source: RNAcentral
GUGGUGAAAAAUAACCCAAAUGAAUCUGUAACUCCUAAUGCCGCUACCAAUUCUCCUUCAUGUACAAGAGAGUUUCAUGGGCACCUAAAGGAGUAGUGUUGCUGUACUUAUGCCUCUGUUCUAAAAGAAAUAAAUUACCAGUUAUUGUGAUAGCUGAAGUCUAGUGAUCUUUGACUUCUGAUGUUAAAGGUACACUUCAAGAGUUAUCUUGGACACCAAUGGGUUAUGUUGUUCGACAGACAUUAUCUACAGAACUGUCAGCAGCCCCUAAAAAUGUUACUUCUAUGAUAAACUUAAAGACCAUUGCUUCGUCAGCAGAUCCUAAAAAUGUUAGUAUACCAUCUUCUGAAGCUUUAUCUUCGGAUCCUUCCUACAACAAAGAAAAACACAUUAUUCAUCCUACCCAAAAGUCUAAAACAUCACAAGGUAGUGACCUUGAACAAAAUGAAGCCUCAAGAAAGAAUAAGAAAAAGAAAGAAAAAUCUACAUCAAAAUAUGAAGUCCUGACAGUUCAAGAGCCUCCAAGGAUUGAAGAUGCCGAGGAAUUUCCCAACCUGGCAGUUGCAUCUGAAAGAAGAGACAGAAUAGAGACACCGAAAUUUCAAUCUAAGCAGCAG